UUACGGCCACACCACGUUGAAGCACUGGUUCCCGUACGAUUACUGAAGUUAAGCAACGUUGAGCCUAGUCAGUAUCUGGAUAGGUGACUGCUUGGGCAUGCCAGGUGCUGUAA
Non-coding RNA from Acanthosepion pharaonis, 113 nucleotides. The record is from the annotation of a GenBank genome assembly. NCBI's taxonomy places the organism in Eukaryota, Metazoa, Mollusca, Cephalopoda, Sepiida, Sepiidae.